GAAGGCAGAAGACCAUAAACAACUUCUCUAAUUUGGACAGCAGCAGUCAGGUCCAGUAAGGAAAUUCUGCCAGAGAACCUGCUGGAAAACCAAGGCAAAUGAUGACAACCAAUGACAGAUCUUCUAAGUGAAUGGAUAAUAAAAUGCAAUUCCAGAUGUCUGGACAUCAUUGUUGUGUGAAGACUGGUGAAGAGAAGUUACAAAGGAGAAAACAUAGAAGGCGUGAAAUGAGAGAGACCCCCAUCUGUGUCAUUGAAUGACCUCGACAAUGAGAGUGAGAGUCCAGGAGGAACUGUCAACAGGCAUUGAGGGGAGUGAUAGAUGGUCCUAUUCACAUUGCGCACACACAGACAUAGACGCAUAUAUAUCAUACUACUAUCUGACAUCUCACCCUCAAGCAUGCAUGUUAUGCUAUGGUGCACUGAUGCACUUAUCUCCACGAAAUACACACACGUACAGAUGUUAGUCUGUGUCCCCACUCGAGGUUAAAAGUUGCUGCUGUGAUAAGCACCAAACAUCAUGUCAACAUCAACAUGUUUAUACGCGAUAACAAAAUGUGUUGGCUUGACACAUGACUGCUGUUUAUUGACUGGUUUUUUGCAUGAGCACUGUGUAAAUAAAACCAGUGUCAUCUGCAUAGAUUAUUCAUUUAAUCUGUCAUCACUGAUCUAGUGUACAUUAUAUGUUUUCCGUAGACAUAAAGACUUACUCUGUGUGUGUAUUGCUUUGCCAAAACCAAUUCAGCUACAUUUUAAAGAAGUGGAUGCUAUAUUAAUAGCAUAUAUUAAUUCUCUUUGCCUGAAACUCACAGAGACCCAAUGGCACCAAAUACCACCACAAAUCCGUUCCUCCCAACUGCAAAAAAAAAAAAAAAAAAAAAAUGCAAUGCUUGAUUUUUCUCCUUACAUUUCUUCUUUGACAAACAGCCAGUAAAAAGUUUGACUUUUCAAACAGCCACAGCAAAAGGCACAAAGGCUUCUUUGCUAAACUCCAGACUAAACAGAACAGAGCUGGGGACAAGUCACUGAGUAUAAGUGAUGGUGAUGUGUGGUGUCAUUCUCUGUCCUGCUGCUUCUCAGACACAUGUCAAAGUGAAAGCAGAGAACCCAGAGCUGAUGUCUCUGUUUUACCCACUCAGAUACACAAGAAACAGAUGCAACCUCUGCAAAGACACAACAGAUGUCUGGUUUACAUUUUCACUGAUUAUGAAGUGCACGUACUAAAAUAUUCAAUAUAAUUAUAUGGGAUUUUUUGAAUAAUCUUUGAAAUGUGUAAUUUAAAGUGUCAGACCUAGCCUGGAAUGUACUGCUAUGCUGCAUAAUAAACAAAACAAAUGUU
Molecule: long non-coding RNA, 1338 nt
Organism: Thunnus maccoyii (southern bluefin tuna)
Lineage: Eukaryota; Metazoa; Chordata; Actinopteri; Scombriformes; Scombridae
Exons: 3
Source: RefSeq, a predicted model, not a curated record